CGCGGCGACGCCGGCGGUUCGCCGCCGGUGUUGUUGUGAGAAGUUCAUUAAACCUUAUCAUUUAGAGGAAGGAGAAGUCGUAACAAGGUUUCCGUAGGUGAACCUGCGGAAGGAUCAUUG
RNAcentral lists this ribosomal RNA (120 nucleotides) under Lepidolejeunea involuta. RNAcentral's name for it is "partial 18S ribosomal RNA". It matches the Rfam family "Eukaryotic small subunit ribosomal RNA", at positions 1716 to 1831 of the family's 1831-position model. Lineage: Eukaryota; Viridiplantae; Streptophyta; Jungermanniopsida; Porellales; Lejeuneaceae. RNAcentral also lists the same sequence under 7 other names. The record is from RNAcentral.